UACGUAGGGUGCGAGCGUUAAUCGGAAUUACUGGGCGUAAAGGGCUCGUAGGCGGCCAACUAAGUCCGACGUGAAAUCCCCAGGCUUAACCUGGGAACUGCGUCGGAUACUGGAUGGCUUGAAUUCGGGAGAGGGAUGCAGAAUUCCAGGUGUAGCGGUGAAAUGCGUAGAUAUCUGGAGGAAUACCGGUGGCGAAGGCGGCAUCCUGGACCGACAUUGACGCUGAGGAGCGAAAGCUAGGGGAGCAAACGGG
This 253-nucleotide ribosomal RNA is filed under the name uncultured bacterium. RNAcentral describes it as "partial 16S ribosomal RNA". It matches the Rfam family "Bacterial small subunit ribosomal RNA", at positions 524 to 776 of the family's 1533-position model. The record is from RNAcentral.